Molecule: ribosomal RNA, 303 nt
Filed under: uncultured bacterium
Lineage: Bacteria
Description: partial 16S ribosomal RNA
Rfam family: Bacterial small subunit ribosomal RNA
Source: RNAcentral
AGCAGCCGCCGCGGUAAUACGGAGGGUGCAAGCGUUAAUCGGAAUUACUGGGCGUAAAGCGCACGCAGGCGGUCUGUCAAGUCGGAUGUGAAAUCCCCGGGCUCAACCUGGGAACUGCAUUCGAAACUGGCAGGCUAGAGUCUUGUAGAGGGGGGUAGAAUUCCAGGUGUAGCGGUGAAAUGCGUAGAGAUCUGGAGGAAUACCGGUGGCGAAGGCGGCCCCCUGGACAAAGACUGACGCUCAGGUGCGAAAGCGUGGGGAGCAAACAGGAUUAGAUACCCCAGUAGUCCCUGUCUCUUAUAA